UGCCUACGGGGGGCAGCAGUGGGGAAUAUUGCACAAUGGAGGAAACUCUGAUGCAGCGAUGCCGCGUGAGGGAAGAAGGUUUUCGGAUUGUAAACCUCUGUCUUAAGGGACGAUAAUGACGGUACCUUAGGAGGAAGCUCCGGCUAACUACGUGCCAGCAGCCGCGGUAAUACGGAGGAUGCGAGCGCUAUCCGGAUUUAUUGGGUUUAAAGGGUGCGUAGGCGGAAUGCCAAGUCAGCGGUAAAAUCGUGGGGCCCAACCCCAUCCCGCCGUUGAAACUGGCGGUCUUGAGUGAGCGGGAAGUU
RNAcentral lists this ribosomal RNA (305 nucleotides) under uncultured bacterium. Its description in RNAcentral is "bacterial SSU rRNA". It matches the Rfam family "Bacterial small subunit ribosomal RNA", at positions 335 to 659 of the family's 1533-position model. The record is from RNAcentral.